RNAcentral lists this unclassified non-coding RNA (1363 nucleotides) under uncultured Neocallimastigales. RNAcentral describes it as "partial contains small subunit ribosomal RNA, internal transcribed spacer 1, 5.8S ribosomal RNA, internal transcribed spacer 2, and large subunit ribosomal RNA". The stretch from base 611 to 1363 matches the Rfam family "Eukaryotic large subunit ribosomal RNA", at positions 1 to 617 of the family's 3401-position model. Lineage: Eukaryota; Fungi; Neocallimastigomycota; Neocallimastigomycetes; Neocallimastigales. The record is from RNAcentral.
UUUCCGUAGGUGAACCUGCGGAAGGAUCAUUAAUAAAUUUUUUUUGAAAUAAAAAAAAAAUAAUAAUCAUCCCUACCCUUUGUGAAUUUGUUUUGUUGAAUAAUUUUUUAAAAUUAUUUAUUGUCUAUCCAAGUUGGAAAGUUGUAAAAGACUAGAAGACUGGAGCGGCAUAAUAAAUUUUAAAGACUUUUUUCUAAAUUAAACUUUUUGUAUUCAUUUGUCUAAAAUAAUUUUUAUAAUAUAUAAAAACAACUUUUGACAAUGGAUCUCUUGGUUCUCGCAACGAUGAAGAACGAAGCAAAAUGCGAUAAGUAAUGUGAAUUGCAGAAUACGUGAAUCAUCGAAUCUUCGAACGCAUAUUGCACUUUUUUAGUUUACUAAAAAAGUAUGUCUGUUGAGUAUCAGUAAAAUAUUCUCAUAAAAUUUUUUAAUUUUAUGGUUAUGAGUGUUUUACAACGAUAAACAAGUUGUUUCACUUUAAUUGAAUUUUUUGAAGAAAUUCUUUAAUUCAAAUUAAAUUUGGAUAAAAUUUUCCCGUAAAAAGGAAUAACUAUACAAGUUUAUAAGAAUUUAGUGAUUUCUUUAUGAAAAGGAAAUUUAUUAAAUAACUUGAUCUCAAAUCAGAUAAGAGUACCCGCUGAACUUAAGCAUAUCAAUAAGCGGAGGAAAAGAAACUAACAAGGAUUCCCUAGUAACGGCGAGUGAAGCGGGAAGAGCUCAAAUUUGAAAUCUUAAAGGGUUUCCCUUUACGAAUUGUAGUUUAAAGAAGUGUUUUCUGUUGAGUUUUGGUAAAAGUUCUUUGGAAUAGGACAUCAUAGAGGGUGAGAAUCCCGUAUUUGACCUUUACUUUCAACUUGUGAUACACUUUCAAAGAGUCGGAUUGUUUGGGAAUGCAGUCCAAAUGGGUGGUAAAUUUCAUCUAAAGCUAAAUAUUGGCGAGAGACCGAUAGCGAACAAGUACCGUGAGGGAAAGAUGAAAAGAACUUUGAAAAGAGAGUUAAACAGUACGUGAAAUUGUCAAAAGGGAAGCGUUUGACACCAGUGUUGUUUUUCUGAAAUCAAUUAAAGAACUGUUUAUGCUAAGUUGUUUAGACUUUAUCAGCUAACUGUUUAGUUUUGAGCUUUUCUUUAAUGCACUUUUCAGUUAACAAGUCAACAUCAAUUUCUUUUGCUGUAAAAAAGCUUGAGGAAGGUGGCUUGAGAUUCGUCUUAAGUGUUUAUAGCCUCUUGCCUAUGCAGUCGGAGAGAUUGAGGUCUGCAGCGUAGAUCCUUCGGGGCUAAAUGCAUUUGUGCUAAGUUAUAGCAUUUUAUAGACAACUUGUUGACUAUGAUUUGUCUUGUAGCUUACUCGCUUAUGUUAUUU